This 327-nucleotide ribosomal RNA is filed under the name Triticum aestivum (bread wheat). RNAcentral's name for it is "partial small subunit ribosomal RNA". Lineage: Eukaryota; Viridiplantae; Streptophyta; Magnoliopsida; Poales; Poaceae. The record is from RNAcentral.
AUGUGUUCAGUCUUUCGUUAUGCAGUAGCCAUACAAAAAAAACAUUGUUGGCCACCCUUGAUGACUAAAACAGAGAGAGUGGGAUCAUCAAUUCCUUGGUAUCUCUAUCCUCAACCAAACUACGGACCAUCCAACCUUCGGUCAGGUUCACUAUUCUUCAAUCUUAGUGCUGCAUAUUCCUAUUUGAAUGAUACUUGGUGCAUAAAAUUAGUGAUUUGGAAAAUUCUUUUUUUUUCUUUGUUACGAACAAAUCUGCAACUCUGUAUCCUAUUUCUUGCCACUGUUUUGUGUUAUUUUGCUCACACAGAAUGGCCAUGUUUAUCUUAA